AGGAAUGGAGUUCUCUUUCUGCUCGGGAUUUUUGCUGUGACUGUCUCCCAGAUUUCUGCUUUUCCCACACCUGCCGAGGAUGAUAAAGCUGUAGUUUACAACAGACGACUGACUGAGGAGAGACCAAUCCAGGAGCAGAUUGCAGAGGCAGAUGAUGUGAA
Oncorhynchus kisutch (coho salmon) is the source of this 161-nucleotide long non-coding RNA. RefSeq lists it as uncharacterized. The transcript is spliced from 3 exons. Lineage: Eukaryota; Metazoa; Chordata; Actinopteri; Salmoniformes; Salmonidae. The record is from RefSeq and is a predicted model, not a curated record.